UACGUAGGGGCUAGCGUUAUCCGGAAUUACUGGGCGUAAAGGGUGCGUAGGCGGUCUUUCAAGCCAGAAGUGAAAGGCUACGGCUCAACCGUAGUAAGCUUUUGGAACUGUAAGACUUGAGUGCAGGAGAGGAGAGUGGAAUUCCCGGUGUAGCGGUGAAAUGCGUAGAUAUCAGGAGGAACACCGGCGGCGAAGGCGGCUUGCUGGACGGCAACUGACGUUGAGGCUCGAAAGCGUGGGGAGCAAACAGGAUUAGAUACCCCGGUAGUCCCUGAGCGGGCU
Molecule: ribosomal RNA, 282 nt
Filed under: uncultured prokaryote
Description: partial 16S ribosomal RNA
Rfam family: Bacterial small subunit ribosomal RNA
Source: RNAcentral